UUUGACUUGGAGAAUAUGCCAUGCUAUGUGAAUGAGUCUAUUGGUACAGUUUCAGACCAUGGUGUUUGUGAGCAAGUGGAGUUCGUUGUAUGUCCAACUUUGGUAUGGUGUGCUUGAUCUUUUGUCGGUGAUAUUGAAGAAUUUCAGUUCUUCGUUUGAAUCACUUUUGUUUUGAUCAAGGCACUUAUGGUUUGCAAAUUUGGAGAAGACGGUAGAGAAAUGGUCUACUUUUGUUGGCUUUGGUACAAUUUGAGUCGAGGUGGAGAUCAUUAUGAGUACCGAGAGUUUGGGAAUUUGAUAUAGUUCCCGUUGUCUUUAGUUUGUACUUUGGGUGCUUAUGGUGAUUGUUGAUUCGAUUCUCUGUGAAGUUUUCGAAAUUUGGCCAAGGUGGAGAUUGUUGGAUAGUGGCCAAAUUAGUGGCCAAGGGGACAACAAGCCAACUCUCCUUUCGGCUAUUAAACAAAGAAAAGUUUGGUGGACAUCAUCAUGAGUAAAAACACAAUGAUGAUGUUUGUUGAAAAGAAAAAGGAAGGUCAUGAUGAUGUUUGUAAAGGAAUGAUUAUUCCUUUACUUUGGAUUUUUUUAUAGGCAAAUGGAAUUGGGUUUAUUCGGCUCCUUCCUUUGCAACUUGACAAAAGAGCUUUUCUUUGGGUAUUUUCUAAGGCAGCAGCAGCUGCUAUAUGUUUGAGGAGAAGCCGAGAGAAGAAAAGGGGGGGAGCGGCAGAUGAGAGAAACCAGGGAGAGCAUUCGGCUCUCCCAUUUGAAUAUGAGCUGCUCCUUCCCACCAUUUGUAAUAAUCCCAUUUUGUUAGUAAUCACUCAAUCAAAGAUGUUGGUGCUACUUGUGUAGCUUUUGGGAGAGAAGGAUUUUGAUAUGUGUUUCUUCUUCUCCAUUUGUUUCUUAGUUCGAGUGAGAGCUAUUGGUUGUAUGUGGGAUUUGGGUUUGAGAGUUAAAACUCUAUUUGUAAUCUCCUUUUGAUAUAAGUGGAAUUUCCUUGCCGUCUCGGAACUGGACGUAGGCUUACGCCGAACCAGUAUAAAUCAUUGUGUUCUUUGGAUUAUUUGUCUUGUCAUAUUUUGCCGUUGUAAUUUAUUGGUUUCAUAUUUGACGCUUCCGCACAACAAGUACCAUUUGUUUCGGUGUUUGGUAUUUUGAGCCACUUUCUGAUGUUUCCUAAACCUACUUGAGCUCAUCUUGCACUGAAAUUUGAAUAUUCUUGUUUGUAAAGGGUAAUAUUCAGAGCCUUACUGCUGCUGAUCUCGACUGUUUGGGGCGGAUGCAUGACUUCUUUCUCCUCCUUGCCAACUUUACACUCGACAAGGUCUCCAGAAGCAAUCCGGCGAUGCUCAGGCAUUUUCAUUUCUCAACAUUCUUGAGUUGAUACUACACACAUCUCGACCAAUGGUGUUAUUUGUGGAAAAUGUUGUCGGAUUUGAGGUCAAUCCUUGGAAGUUUUAUCUUAAUUGUAGGUAAAAUAUUGAUUUGUUUUUUGUUUUCCAAUUCCUUUGUUUUAUCUCCUGGCUGCAGACAUCUGAUACGCAUACAAAAAUGAUAGAGAUAUUGGGAAGAACAAAUUUUGUUCUGCAGGAGUUCAUAUUGAGUCUGUUACAGUUUGGCGAACCCUAUUCCAGGCCACGCUAUUUUUGCCUGGCAAGGAGGAAACCUUGAACCUUUCACAACAAGUUUUCAAUAAUCAGCUUCUUCGCUCGCUAGGGCCAUUAUUUGGGGAUGCAAAUGCUGAUGAGACAGUGUUCUCUAAACUCGAUGAACCACAAGAGAGCCGGGAUACGUUACUUGAAUAUUGUGAGCCUAUAGAAAGCUUUCUUGAAUUCAAGAAUUGCAGUGACCAAUCGGAGUCCAAUUUUGUGGGCACCACUACUGGUUCUACAAAUACUGAAGGAAUAUUGAAGAAAGAUGAAGGGAGUGGAUUUUGUAGUGGCAUCGUAGAUCAGUACAUUGUUCCAUUAAGCUUGGUAGAGAGGUGGGGAAGUGCCAUGGAUAUCCUUCUUCGUUUCUACGUCCAGUGAUGGCCAAGGUUGGACCCUUGCUUGCCUUGCUUCCAAAAGCUUUAGAUGAUGCUGGGAUUUAUCAUUUUGGCAUGUACAAUGGGACAAUCUAUUUCCAAUUUUCUUGGUGUACGACUAUGUCGCCAGCAAAUGGUACAAUUGUUUCCUCUGUUUCUUUGAUGUGGUUCAUUUCAGCUUUGCUGGGAACUAGGACACAUCUUGUGCAAAGAACGUGAACUUUUAAAAGGUUUCCAGUUUGCUUGAUGCAGUUUACCUGAUCUUUUGUUCUAUGAACUCUGUAUUUUCUAUCAAUUUUCCGUAUUGCUUGACAUAAAAAGCUACGUUAGUUUAGCACUAUUUCCAUGCACUUUCUGAAUUUGUCCAGUAAACUUUCUGUAUUUUUGUUUUAUCUUAUUGAACUCUGAAAUGUUUAUAUGAUCCAUAUCCAUCUGUUUAUUCGAGACUCCUUAACUGUCGGUACCUUGUGCAUUUCAUUGACAACCUUACAUCGCUCCGAAUUUACCAUAUAAAACCCCUGUUUGGCAUGCAUUUAUUUCCUUAUUAGUUUAUGUACUUCGAUCAUAGUAAUCUGAAGGCACUAAUAUUUCUGUUUUGAUAGUGUCAUGACAUUACAAGCAUAUGAUAUGUUCAAUUUAAAAUAAUAAUUCUGAUGCUAUGAACCUAAGCUUUUGAUGGUAUUGAAAUUGUCAUAUUUACAGGAGGUGAUUCACGCAAGUAGAGAGAAGUGAAAGGAAAGAACUAAACUGCUUUGGAUGAUGAGAAGUCUGUAACUAGAUUCAUGUUAUGCAAUUGUUUAUUUGGAAUACGAUCAUGGUAAUUGCGUAUUUGUUUGAAAUUAGCAAGAAAAUUACUCUGUUCGCAUACACAAACAUAAAUAUUGGUACAACUUAUUCAUGCAGUAAUAGUUAUGAAGAUUCAACAGUAAUAUCAUAAAUCUUUUCAAACAUUGGCAUAUCCAAGUUGGUUAAAGCAACGCUCUUUCACUCUGCACUUAAGUUCGAAUGCUCAUAGUUUCUCUUGAAUUAUGGCAUAGAGCUUGCUCACAAUAUUAUUUUGGAACCGCGAAAACCCAGUACUCCAUGGCAUGUUCAACAACAACGAGCCAAGAACACUCCAAAAUCCAAAUGCAAACCCUAGUCCCAAGCUCAGAUCCAACCAACCGUCUUCAAGUAAACGACCAAUUCCUCCCUUUUUUUGAUCACCCGAUGAAAU
This is a non-coding RNA of Malus domestica (apple), 3239 nucleotides long. NCBI's taxonomy places the organism in Eukaryota, Viridiplantae, Streptophyta, Magnoliopsida, Rosales, Rosaceae. The record is from RefSeq and is a predicted model, not a curated record.